This 787-nucleotide unclassified non-coding RNA is filed under the name Rhodotorula toruloides. Lineage: Eukaryota; Fungi; Basidiomycota; Microbotryomycetes; Sporidiobolales; Sporidiobolaceae. The record is from RNAcentral.
ACAAAGUCACCCGCUGGGCUGGCUGAAUCGUGCUCUCAAGCGCUCAGCUCGGUGCUACGAUGCUCGGCCUACCGCCGCACGCUUCGCCCGAGCUUGCCGAUACGCCUCGAGCGCUCGGUGCAAAAGUUCCGACGCGACCUCGCCAGCUCGUUUGAGCGGUGAUGGACAGCUGUCAGCGUGGAUCAGACUUGCUGCAGCUGGGUGGAGGGUGCUGCUUGGCCGGCGAACGCGCUUUUGCGACUAGGCACUGCUGCACUCGCCACCAUUCCUGUCCAUGCGGCCCGCCCGAUCUCUGCUUUUCGCUGGUCAGCUUGCUCCGCCCGCUUUCCUCCAAUUCCACCCGCGCUCCACCAUGGCAGUCAGGUUCUUCGCCACCUCGUCGCACCUCCGUGUGCAAAAGAGGGACAUCGUAUGGCGAUCAACCGUUACGUUCAUGGAAGAUAAACCUUUGCUCCUUCUUCCCCUCUCGCCUCCCGUUCCAGCCUCGUCUUCACCCGUCCCGACUCGCCUCUCUCAACUGUCGUCCGCGGCAGGAGGGCUGCCUCGCUUCCGGGCGAGGUAGAGCGCGAGUUGGAUCCCAUGGCGGGGAGGAUCCGAGGUCGGGAGGCAUCCGAGAGGGUCACGGGGCAGGCGUCGUCCCCCGCCGGGAUGGCGCUUCAGGGUCGCACUCAGAGUUGAAGGUCGAUGGGCGCCCUCUCCCUUCGCGGGGAGAGGGACGGCGGGGUCAUCUUGGCCAACCGCAUUUCGUUCUUCUUAGUUUCGUGCGCUACAACCAACCUCUUUGUCC